GGUUGGCAAUUGAUGGUAUUCAACCUUCCAUUCCACUGAAUUCUCCUGUCCAAGCCAUAUCUGACCUUAAACGAUCGGAAUAUAAGGACGAUGUGUUGGCUGCUAGACAGGUGCUCUCUAAGGAGCU
Camelina sativa (false flax) is the source of this 127-nucleotide non-coding RNA. The record is from RefSeq and is a predicted model, not a curated record. NCBI's taxonomy places the organism in Eukaryota, Viridiplantae, Streptophyta, Magnoliopsida, Brassicales, Brassicaceae.